Molecule: ribosomal RNA, 513 nt
Filed under: Mycobacterium intracellulare
Lineage: Bacteria; Bacillati; Actinomycetota; Actinomycetes; Mycobacteriales; Mycobacteriaceae
Description: bacterial SSU rRNA
Rfam family: Bacterial small subunit ribosomal RNA
Source: RNAcentral
AGUUUGAUCCUGGCUCAGGACGAACGCUGGCGGCGUGCUUAACACAUGCAAGUCGAACGGAAAGGCCCCUUCGGGGGUACUCGAGUGGCGAACGGGUGAGUAACACGUGGGCAAUCUGCCCUGCACUUCGGGAUAAGCCUGGGAAACUGGGUCUAAUACCGGAUAGGACCUUUAGGCGCAUGUCUUUAGGUGGAAAGCUUUUGCGGUGUGGGAUGGGCCCGCGGCCUAUCAGCUUGUUGGUGGGGUGAUGGCCUACCAAGGCGACGACGGGUAGCCGGCCUGAGAGGGUGUCCGGCCACACUGGGACUGAGAUACGGCCCAGACUCCUACGGGAGGCAGCAGUGGGGAAUAUUGCACAAUGGGCGCAAGCCUGAUGCAGCGACGCCGCGUGGGGGAUGACGGCCUUCGGGUUGUAAACCUCUUUCACCAUCGACGAAGGUCCGGGUUUUCUCGGAUUGACGGUAGGUGGAGAAGAAGCACCGGCCAACUACGUGCCAGCAGCCGCGGUAAUAC